Molecule: long non-coding RNA, 1000 nt
Filed under: Homo sapiens (human)
Lineage: Eukaryota; Metazoa; Chordata; Mammalia; Primates; Hominidae
Description: non-protein coding LINC02541:36
Source: RNAcentral
GUCCAGGCCAGUGCUUAAGCCAAUGGAGAAGGGAGGAGGUAAGGAAGUUGGAGUCAAAGAGGCAGUCUUGGGAAAUAACAGGCACCUGGGAAAACCCACGAAGUAAGGUUUUGUAAGAAGUUGCUCUGCUCCCUGGGAGAAAACGCGGAGCUCAACACUGCCAAGAGGAACAAGUCUGGGAAAUUACGACAUGAGGGCCCUUGUGAAUUGAUGAAUAUGAAGACACUAAGAAAGCAGAAAUAGAACUGAGAAGAAUGAAAUAACUGUCUCUACCUUUCUCGAAUUGUCUAAUAUGGAAAGAAUGAAAGACAGCUAAUAAGCAACUCUCUGCAAGAAGACAUAUGGCUUAGAAUCUACUUGGAGAGAGUCAAACACAGAAUCCCUUUGAAUUUAAUGGCCAUUCCAGGUGAUUUGAACAGCCAAAUAAGAAACAGGUCCUCUUCAAUGUACAAUCUGCCAAGUAUGAAGUCUGAAUGACCAUCAUUAUUAUGUAUUUAAUGUGCAUAGAAAAUCUAUCUGCAACCUUCCAGAGUGUACCAGAAGUUUGGAAUGUACAUUAUUAUUGGCUCCAUCUCAAACCACUCAUAAAUCAAAGAAAAUAGCAGUUCCAGAGGAAUCAUCAUAGAGGCUUCUAGGCCCCCAUGCUGUGUGAACCUGGUGAGAAAGGGAAGUCUGCUCUCACUGGACACUGGAACUGUUUGUCUCUGUCUCUGCUGUACUUUCCCUGCCUCUACCUCACUUAGUAAAGAAAUCAUCUUUGCUUGAUAACUAAAACAACCAAUAAGGCUGAGAAAGGGGAAAACCCACAUCUGGAUUUAAAUACAAGGUAUUGGGCCAGCUGCUGGGGAUUAAACUUUGAACAAAACAGAUAGAAUCUAUGUCCUCAUGGGAGUGGCUAAUGGGAGAGUCGGAACAAAAAAAUAGCCAAGGAUAAUCCAGCAAAUGAUUUGGUGAAUGCUAUCAAAGAGAGAAAUACACAUGCUCUGGGAACACCAAACAG